This is a long non-coding RNA of Raphanus sativus (radish), 784 nucleotides long. RefSeq lists it as uncharacterized. NCBI's taxonomy places the organism in Eukaryota, Viridiplantae, Streptophyta, Magnoliopsida, Brassicales, Brassicaceae. The transcript has 2 exons. The record is from RefSeq and is a predicted model, not a curated record.
UCUCUUUUUUUAUUUUCUGUUCGUCGUAGACCGUUUCAGUAAAAAGCGUUUGAGAGAGUUUGAGUUUUCGUGUUCGACGGCCCGUGAUACUAGAAAUGACGACAAGGCGCAGACGCUCUGGGAAAGAGCAAGUUGUUGAGAAAUAGAGAAUCAACUAUGCUUUUUCCUCUUUCUCCCAUUUUCCUUUGAGGUUAGCUUAUCUUCUCCUAUGGAUCUCUAUAUAUAUUUUAGUAUGGAUCUCUUUGUGUAUACUAGAUGUUUCACAGGAUGGUUUCAUUGAGAUUCAUCCCCUCUGUAAAAGUAUAUUUUGCCUCUUUGCUUUCUCCUGUUUAGUAGUUCAUUUGAAUCAUAAGUGUUUAACAUAGACUAUGAUGUGUAGCUAAAUAUAUUGUUACUGAAGUUAUUACUUUUGUUGUUGUGUCUCCCUGUUUACAUCGUUUGUUGUUGUGUCUCCAUAUAUCGAGCAAUCUCAAGGAGAUGUAGGUGCUUUACUUGGCUGCGUUGACGUUUGAGAAUGCAGCGAGGAUGGCUAACGGAACAAAGGGGACAGACAGACCCAAACAUAGUGGUGAUGCUUAUAGGGAACAAGUGAGAUUUGGGUCACUUGUUACAAAAACAGAAGAACGUAAAUCAGUCGUUGAGUUUAUGGACGCAUCAGCUCUAGAUGCAAUCCAUUGUUUUUUUUUUUGAAUUUUCCUGAUGCAAGGAACAUAUGACCAACGUGUACAACAAAACUAGAAUCCAUGUGUACACUUCUUUCAUGUUCAUCAUUUUGAUAAGACAA